RNAcentral lists this long non-coding RNA (2593 nucleotides) under Capra hircus (goat). Its description in RNAcentral is "lncRNA (ENSCHIG00000005479.1)". The record is from RNAcentral. Lineage: Eukaryota; Metazoa; Chordata; Mammalia; Artiodactyla; Bovidae.
AUGGAGCGGGGGGGGCGAGCGGGGGCUGCAGGGUCCAGCUCCCGGGAGAUAGGGGUCAUUCCACCUGUCGCCGGGCACGCGCCGGCCGCACGGGGGCGCCAGCGGACAGGCCCCCGCAGAACGCGCCCGGCCGGGCGAGCGGCGGUCAGUCCCGGGAGGUGGCGCUCGCGAGGCGGGGAAGGGCGGCGAGGGGCUGUGUGGUCCGUGGAAAAUCCCCACGGCCCGCCCCGCGCGGGACCCGCUGUAACCUCGGCCCCGGCGGCCAGGCGGGGUGGGGUCUUCGCCAGGGCUCAAGAUCCUCCUGGGAUGCGCAGUGGGGCUUGGGGAGUGAAAAGCACUCUCGAGGGUGCGUGGGGCAGGAGCACCGGGGUCGUACAGGCGGGCGUGGAGGGGCGCGGGCGCCAUCAGAGCGGGGUCGCAUCCUUCCUACCAAGGCCGGACCUAACGUCGUGUUCCUCAGGCUGUGCAGUCACUGAGGGCAUGGGCACCCCUAACCCCUCCCCAACCCUCAGCCUCGCAUCCUUCCAUUAUCUGCUAGGGGCUGGAGAGGGGGUGAAUGCGGCACCCAGGUCCUUCUGUCCCACCUGCGCCCCCUGCCUAUUCCUCCGGCUGGCUGGAUCUCUGGCAGUCCCAGCAGCAACACGGAGCAGACGGGGCGAGUUGAGCUGGGAUGGGGGUGGAGGUACGGACGCCAGGCGUCUCUCCGCCCCCCUGUGUCACCUCCUCUUGCUGGAGUCAGGGCCACUCGCGGACUGCCAUCUCCCCGCCCAGGGAACGAAGAACGCGAGCACAGGGACUGGGUACCGGUGGCCGACGGGUCAGUGCCCGGGGCUGGCCCAGGACCAACGCUGCCCCAACCCCCGCGCAGCUAGUUGCCUAGCAGGGCCCUACCCGGAGCCAGCGCCUCCGAGGCCCGACGGGAGCCCUUUCCCCUGUGGGCGACCACCGCUGCGGCCAGCAGGGACGGUCCAAUGCAGGCUCCAUCCUGGGAACAGCUGUCAAGCCGCUGCUUGGGAGGGACGAGGAGGUGUGAGUAGGAGCCGAGAUUCUUACCUGUCCAGGUGUCUGCCUGGCCUGGAAGCCACCGAGACCAAAUGUGGGGCAGCUCCAUGCAUGGUGGUCCAUGCGUGGGGGUCCCUGACGAUCUCACAUGCACUCACCGGAGCUCUGUCCCAGGCUUGUCUGCUGGGGGACUUCAUUCUCUGGAUGUACCGUGUGGUGGAGUGGAGCAGAGUUAAACGAGGUUCCAGAGUGAGUCGUACAGGCUGCAGAGAAGACAACAAAUGAGGAAAAACAGGAGGGCCACUGUGGAACUGGAAGAUUACUUCCUAUGUGGGUGACAGUCAGAGUGAUGAAGAGGGAGUGACCCUUUUCUGGCUAUGGGUCAUUUUAUAUGUAUAACUUUUGAAUCAAAUAAUAUUUAACUCAAAUGAAUAUUCUCCAUAAUCAAAUUAUUAAAUAGAGAAAGAAUGAAAAAGACCCUAAAAUUCAGUCAUAAAUGAUUUUUUGAUUCCUUUAUUGUAUAUCAAAUCAACAUAACCACGCAGAAAAAAAGAGAAUUCAAACAGCUUUGAACACCAUAUUCUGAAUUUCAGUGUGAUAUAUUCUGAGGACAAAAAUAAUUACAAAGAGAUCUUGAGAUUUCCUUAGUAGGUUUGGUUAGUAGCAGGAUUGUUAUAGUAAUUCCAAAGCUAUUUGGAGGGCAUUUUGGAACAGAGUAAAUUAAUAAAUAUGUUGAUGCUGCUGAAAAAGGGUUCUUACUGUCGAUAAGGGUUUAUUUGGUUGUGCCUUUUUUUUUUUGUAUAUUGAAAAUGGUUUAAUAUUUACAAAUGCAUACAGUUCAGUUCAGUAGCUCAGUCGUGUCUGACUCUUUGCGACCCCAUGGACCGCAGCACGCCAGGCCUCCCUGUCCAUCACUAACUCCUGGAGUCCACCCAAACCCAUGUCCAUUGAGUCGGUGAUGCCAUCCAACCAUCUCAUCCUCUGUCAUCCCCUUCUCCUCCUGCAUCAGGGUCUUUUCAAAUGGGUCAGCUCUUCGCAUCAGGUGGCCAAAGUAUUGGAGUUUCAGCUUCAACUUCAGUCCUUCCAAUGAACACUCAGAACUGAUCUUCUUUAGGAUGGACUGGUUGGAUCCCCUUGCAGUUCAGGGGAUUCUCAAGAAUCUUCUCCAACACCACAGUUCAAAAGCAUCAAUUCUUCUGUGCUCAGCUUUCUUUACAGUCCAACUCUCACAUCCAUACAUGACUACUGAAAAAAAACAUAGCCUUGACUAGGUGGACCUUUGUUGGUAAAGUAAUGUCUCUGCUUUUUAAUAUGCUGUCUAGGUUGGUCAUAACUUUCCUUCCAAGGAGCAAGUGUCUUUUAAUUUCAUGGCUGCAGUCACCAUCUGCAGUGAUUGUGGAGCCCCCCAAAAUAAAAUAAGUCACUGUUUCCAUUGUUUCCCGUCUAUUUGCCAUGAGGUGAUGGGACCAGAUGCCAUGAUCUUAGUUUUCUGAAUGUUGAGCUUUGAGCCAACUUUUUCACUCUCUUUCACUUUCAUCAAGAGGCUCUUUAGUUCUUUUUCACUUUCUGCCAUUAGGGUGGUGUCAUCUGC